AAAGAAGGGUUAAAUUCCUAAACAUACAAGAGAUAAGGGAAAAGAAAAUAAAACCACAUUAGGAGUUCCCCUCUUGAGAUCAUAUUGAUGAUCCAAGUACCUCCCAUCCUUUGGAAUAAGCAGUCACAAACAAAUAUCUCAAGCCAUUAAGCACAUGUAAUCAGAAUAAACCUCCAGGGGGUAUCCCACAAAUAAAGUGGAACACCAGGCCAUCUCUGCAAGAGUCAUGUGAGCCC
This 236-nucleotide long non-coding RNA is filed under the name Lathyrus oleraceus (garden pea). Its description in RNAcentral is "Pisum sativum (pea) long non-coding RNA (PSAT_LNC022640)". Lineage: Eukaryota; Viridiplantae; Streptophyta; Magnoliopsida; Fabales; Fabaceae. The record is from RNAcentral.